GUGAGAAUCUGCCUUGGGGUCGGGGACAACCACUGGAAACGGUGGCUAAUACCGGAUAAGCCUUUGGGUAAAAGAUUUAUUGCCCCAAGAGGAGCUCGCGUCUGAUUAGCUAGUUGGUGAGGUAAGAGCUCACCAAGGCAGCGAUCAGUAGCUGGUCUGAGAGGACGAUCAGCCACACUGGGACUGAGACACGGCCCAGACUCCUACGGGGGGCAGCAGUGGGGAAUUUUCCGCAAUGGGCGAAAGCCUGACGGAGCAAGACCGCGUGAGGGAGGAAGGCUCUUGGGUUGUAAACCUCUUUUCUCAGGGAAGAAGCUCUGGCGGUACCUGAGGAAUCAGCCUCGGCUAACUCCGUGCCAGCAGCCGCGGUAAUACGGAGGAGGCAAGCGUUAUCCGGAAUUAUUGGGCGUAAAGCGUCCGCAGGUGGCGAUUCAAGUCUGCUGUCAAAGCACGGGGCUUAACUCCGUUAAGGCAGUGGAAACUGAAUAGCUAGAGUGCCGUAGGGGUAGAGGGAAUUCCCGGUGUAGCGGUGAAAUGCGUAGAGAUCGGGAAGAACAUCGGUGGCGAAAGCGCUCUACUGGACGGCAACUGACACUCAGGGACGAAAGCUAGGGGAGCGAAUGGGAUUAGAUACCCCAGUAGUCCUAGCUGUAAACGAUGGAUACUAGGUGUAGCUUGUAUCGACCCGAGCUGUGCCGAAGCUAACGCGUUAAGUAUCCCGCCUGAGGAGUACGCACGCAAGUGUGAAACUCAAAGGAAUU
Molecule: ribosomal RNA, 761 nt
Filed under: uncultured organism
Description: bacterial SSU rRNA
Rfam family: Bacterial small subunit ribosomal RNA
Source: RNAcentral